This 831-nucleotide ribosomal RNA is filed under the name Chryseobacterium sp. XYY-2015. RNAcentral describes it as "bacterial SSU rRNA". It matches the Rfam family "Bacterial small subunit ribosomal RNA", at positions 554 to 1394 of the family's 1533-position model. The record is from RNAcentral. Lineage: Bacteria; Pseudomonadati; Bacteroidota; Flavobacteriia; Flavobacteriales; Weeksellaceae.
UUGGGUUUAAGGGUCCGUAGGCGGAUCUGUAAGUCAGUGGUGAAAUCUCACAGCUUAACUGUGAAACUGCCAUUGAUACUGCAGGUCUUGAGUGUUGUUGAAGUAGCUGGAAUAAGUAGUGUAGCGGUGAAAUGCAUAGAUAUUACUUAGAACACCAAUUGCGAAGGCAGGUUACUAAGCAACAACUGACGCUGAUGGACGAAAGCGUGGGGAGCGAACAGGAUUAGAUACCCUGGUAGUCCACGCCGUAAACGAUGCUAACUCGUUUUUGGAGCGCAAGCUUCAGAGACUAAGCGAAAGUGAUAAGUUAGCCACCUGGGGAGUACGAACGCAAGUUUGAAACUCAAAGGAAUUGACGGGGGCCCGCACAAGCGGUGGAUUAUGUGGUUUAAUUCGAUGAUACGCGAGGAACCUUACCAAGGCUUAAAUGGGAAAUGACAGGCUUAGAAAUAGGCUUUUCUUCGGACAUUUUUCAAGGUGCUGCAUGGUUGUCGUCAGCUCGUGCCGUGAGGUGUUAGGUUAAGUCCUGCAACGAGCGCAACCCCUGUCACUAGUUGCCAUCAUUAAGUUGGGGACUCUAGUGAGACUGCCUACGCAAGUAGAGAGGAAGGUGGGGAUGACGUCAAAUCAUCACGGCCCUUACGCCUUGGGCCACACACGUAAUACAAUGGCCGGUACAGAGGGCAGCUACACAGUGAUGUGAUGCAAAUCUCGAAAGCCGGUCUCAGUUCGGAUUGGAGUCUGCAACUCGACUCUAUGAAGCUGGAAUCGCUAGUAAUCGCGCAUCAGCCAUGGCGCGGUGAAUACGUUCCCGGGCUGGGGNAUCCCGAA